RNAcentral lists this ribosomal RNA (257 nucleotides) under uncultured prokaryote. RNAcentral describes it as "partial 16S ribosomal RNA". It matches the Rfam family "Bacterial small subunit ribosomal RNA", at positions 524 to 780 of the family's 1533-position model. The record is from RNAcentral.
UACGUAGGUGGCAAGCGUUGUCCGGAUUUAUUGGGCGUAAAGCGAGCGCAGGCGGUUCCUUAAGUCUGAUGUGAAAGCCCACGGCUCAACCGUGGAAGGUCAUUGGAAACUGGGGAACUUGAGUGCAGAAGAGGAGAGUGGAAUUCCAUGUGUAGCGGUGAAAUGCGUAGAUAUAUGGAGGAACACCAGUGGCGAAGGCGACUCUCUGGUCUGUAACUGACGCUGAGGCUCGAAAGCGUGGCGAGCAAACAGGAUUA